AGCAGCCGCGGUAAUUCCAGCUCCAAUAGCGUAUAUUAAAGUUGUUGCAGUUAAAAAGCUCGUAGUUGAAUUUCGGGAUUUGUCGGUUGGUCGGGCUUCACUGUCCGCACUGACCUGACGGAUUCCUACCUUCUGAAUAACCAGCAUGCUAUUAAGUUAGUGCGUUGGGGAAGCAGAGCUAUUACCUUGAAAAAAUUAGAGUGCUUAAAGCAGGCUUGUGCUUGAAUAGAUUAGCAUGGAAUAAUAAAAUAGGACGGCAUGGUUCUAUUUUGUUGGUUUCUAGGAUCACCGUAAUGAUUAAUAGGGAUAGUUGGGGGCAUUAGUAUUCAAUUGUCAGAGGUGAAAUUCUUGGAUUUAUUGAAGACUAACUUCUGCGAAAGCAUUUGCCAAGGAUGUUUUCAUUAAUCAAGAACGAAAGUUAGGGGAUCGAAGACGAUCAGAUACCGUCGUAGUCUUAACCAUAAACUAUGCCGACUAGGGAUCGGACGAUGUUAAUUUUUUAAUGACUCG
RNAcentral lists this ribosomal RNA (510 nucleotides) under uncultured Acaulospora. RNAcentral's name for it is "SSU rRNA". It matches the Rfam family "Eukaryotic small subunit ribosomal RNA", at positions 569 to 1078 of the family's 1831-position model. The record is from RNAcentral. Lineage: Eukaryota; Fungi; Glomeromycota; Glomeromycetes; Diversisporales; Acaulosporaceae.